ACCUAACAUAAUCGCAACCACCCUCACCAGCAGCCCCUACCUUCAUUGUCUAAUUAAGGUAACGCAUGAGUUGGAGGGCUUGUGCUGUCACAGUAACAGUAACUUCUAGAUCUACUCAUCCUGUUUCCUGAAAUGGCAGACCCUGCCAAAAACUACUGUAUGUACAGAGGGGACACAGAUAUCCUGUUGUUUGCUUUGCACCACAGUUGAAAUAUCGGCAUCAAUCUUGUAUUGUGUGUGUGAUUCCUCUGAAGUCACUCUUGUUGCUCUUGUGUGUGUGAUGAUAUUGAUUGAUUUGAUAGAGCUGGUAAU
Micropterus salmoides (largemouth bass) is the source of this 312-nucleotide long non-coding RNA. RefSeq lists it as uncharacterized. The record is from RefSeq and is a predicted model, not a curated record. NCBI's taxonomy places the organism in Eukaryota, Metazoa, Chordata, Actinopteri, Centrarchiformes, Centrarchidae. The transcript has 3 exons.